Unclassified non-coding RNA from Macaca mulatta (Rhesus monkey), 149 nucleotides. It matches the Rfam family "Metazoan signal recognition particle RNA". From Rfam's summary of the family: The signal recognition particle (SRP) is a universally conserved ribonucleoprotein. The record is from Ensembl. Lineage: Eukaryota; Metazoa; Chordata; Mammalia; Primates; Cercopithecidae.
GCUGGGCAUUGUGGUGCAUGCCUGUAGUCCCAGCUACUUGAGGGGGCUGAGUCGGGAGGAUUGCUUGAGCCCAGGAGGUUGAGGCUGCAGUGAGCCAUGAUCACACCACUGCACCCCAACCUGGGCGACAGGGCAAGACCUUGUCUCCA